This 436-nucleotide ribosomal RNA is filed under the name uncultured Acidobacteriota bacterium. Its description in RNAcentral is "bacterial SSU rRNA". It matches the Rfam family "Bacterial small subunit ribosomal RNA", at positions 137 to 550 of the family's 1533-position model. Lineage: Bacteria; Pseudomonadati; Acidobacteriota. The record is from RNAcentral.
UGGGGGAUAACGUCCCGAAAGGGACGCUAAUACCGCAUGACAUCCUGCCUUUGAACAGGUGGAGAUCAUAUCUUGGGGAUCGUAAGACCUAGCGCUCGGAGAGGGGCCCGCGCCUGAUUAGCUAGUUGGUGGGGUAACGGCUCACCAAGGCAACGAUCAGUAUCCGGCCUGAGAGGGCGGACGGACACACUGGGACUGAGACACGGCCCAGACUCCUACGGGAGGCAGCAGUGGGGAAUUGUUCGCAAUGGGCGCAAGCCUGACGACGCAACGCCGCGUGGAGGAUGAAGAUCUUCGGGUCGUAAACUCCUUUCGAUCGAGACGAAUGAUCUCCGGGUGAACAAUCCGGAGGAAUGACGGUACCGAGAGAAGAAGCCCCGGCUAACUCCGUGCCAGCAGCCGCGGUAAUACGGGGGGGGGCAAGCGUUGUUCGGAA